GUAAGGAAUAUUGGACAAUGGACGCAAGUCUGAUCCAGCCAUGCCGCGUGAAGGAUUAAGGCCCUCUGGGUUGUAAACUUCUUUUAUAGGGGACGAAAAAAGGGCUUUCUAGCUCGACUGACGGUACCCUAUGAAUAAGCACCGGCUAACUCCGUGCCAGCAGCCGCGGUAAUACGGAGGGUGCAAGCGUUAUCCGGAUUCACUGGGUUUAAAGGGUGCGUAGGCGGGUAGGUAAGUCAGUGGUGAAAUCUUCGAGCUCAACUCGGAAACUGCCAUUGAUACUAUUUAUCUUGAAUAUUGUGGAGGUGAGCGGAAUAUGUCAUGUAGCGGUGAAAUGCUUAGAUAUGACAUAGAACACCAAUUGCGUAGGCAGCUCGCUACACAAAUAUUGACGCUGAGGCACGAAAGCGUGGGGAUCAAACAGGAUUAGAUACCCUGGUAGUCCACGCCCUAAACUAUGAUUACUCGACAUAUGCGAUACACUGUAUGUGUCUGAGCGAAAGCAUUAAGUAAUCCACCUGGGAAGUACGACCGCAAGGU
This 540-nucleotide ribosomal RNA is filed under the name uncultured Chitinophaga sp. RNAcentral's name for it is "bacterial SSU rRNA". It matches the Rfam family "Bacterial small subunit ribosomal RNA", at positions 354 to 894 of the family's 1533-position model. Lineage: Bacteria; Pseudomonadati; Bacteroidota; Chitinophagia; Chitinophagales; Chitinophagaceae. The record is from RNAcentral.